RNAcentral lists this ribosomal RNA (1372 nucleotides) under uncultured bacterium. RNAcentral describes it as "bacterial SSU rRNA". It matches the Rfam family "Bacterial small subunit ribosomal RNA", at positions 28 to 1381 of the family's 1533-position model. The record is from RNAcentral.
GAUGAACGCUGGCGGCGUGCCUAAUACAUGCAAGUCGAGCGAACGGACGAGAAGCUUGCUUCUCUGAUGUUAGCGGCGGACGGGUGAGUAACACGUGGAUAACCUACCUAUAAGACUGGGAUAACUUCGGGAAACCGGAGCUAAUACCGGAUAAUAUUUUGAACCGCAUGGUUCAAAAGUGAAAGACGGUCUUGCUGUCACUUAUAGAUGGAUCCGCGCUGCAUUAGCUAGUUGGUAAGGUAACGGCUUACCAAGGCAACGAUGCAUAGCCGACCUGAGAGGGUGAUCGGCCACACUGGAACUGAGACACGGUCCAGACUCCUACGGGAGGCAGCAGUAGGGAAUCUUCCGCAAUGGGCGAAAGCCUGACGGAGCAACGCCGCGUGAGUGAUGAAGGUCUUCGGAUCGUAAAACUCUGUUAUUAGGGAAGAACAUAUGUGUAAGUAACUGUGCACAUCUUGACGGUACCUAAUCAGAAAGCCACGGCUAACUACGUGCCAGCAGCCGCGGUAAUACGUAGGUGGCAAGCGUUAUCCGGAAUUAUUGGGCGUAAAGCGCGCGUAGGCGGUUUUUUAAGUCUGAUGUGAAAGCCCACGGCUCAACCGUGGAGGGUCAUUGGAAACUGGAAAACUUGAGUGCAGAAGAGGAAAGUGGAAUUCCAUGUGUAGCGGUGAAAUGCGCAGAGAUAUGGAGGAACACCAGUGGCGAAGGCGACUUUCUGGUCUGUAACUGACGCUGAUGUGCGAAAGCGUGGGGAUCAAACAGGAUUAGAUACCCUGGUAGUCCACGCCGUAAACGAUGAGUGCUAAGUGUUAGGGGGUUUCCGCCCCUUAGUGCUGCAGCUAACGCAUUAAGCACUCCGCCUGGGGAGUACGACCGCAAGGUUGAAACUCAAAGGAAUUGACGGGGACCCGCACAAGCGGUGGAGCAUGUGGUUUAAUUCGAAGCAACGCGAAGAACCUUACCAAAUCUUGACAUCCUUUGACAACUCUAGAGAUAGAGCUUUCCCCUUCGGGGGACAAAGUGACAGGUGGUGCAUGGUUGUCGUCAGCUCGUGUCGUGAGAUGUUGGGUUAAGUCCCGCAACGAGCGCAACCCUUAAGCUUAGCUGCCAUCAUUAAGUUGGGCACUCUAAGUUGACUGCCGGUGACAAACCGGAGGAAGGUGGGGAUGACGUCAAAUCAUCAUGCCCCUUAUGAUUUGGGCUACACACGUGCUACAAUGGACAAUACAAAGGGCAGCGAAACCGUGAGGUCAAGCAAAUCCCAUAAAGUUGUUCUCAGUUCGGAUUGUAGUCUGCAACUCGACUACAUGAAGCUGGAAUCGCUAGUAAUCGUAGAUCAGCAUGCUACGGUGAAUACGUUCCCGGGUCU